RNAcentral lists this ribosomal RNA (468 nucleotides) under uncultured bacterium. Its description in RNAcentral is "partial 16S ribosomal RNA". It matches the Rfam family "Bacterial small subunit ribosomal RNA", at positions 28 to 507 of the family's 1533-position model. The record is from RNAcentral.
GACGAACGCUGGCGGCGUGCUUAACACAUGCAAGUCGAACGGAAAGGCCCUGCUUUUGUGUGGUUCUCGAGUGGCGAACGUGUGUGUAACCCGUGAGUCUCCUUCCCUUGACUUUGGGAUAUCUUCAGGCAACUGCUGCUAAUACCUGCUAGGAGCUCCUGCUGCAUGGUGGGGUUUGGACAGUUUCGGCGGUUGUGGAUGGACUCGGGGCUUAUUAGUUUGUUGGUGGGGUAGUGGCUUACCAAGGCUUCGAAGGGUAGCCGGCCUGGGAGGGUGAACGGGCACAUGGGGACUGAGAGACGGAGCAGACGGGUACAGGAGGCAGUGGGGGGGAGUAUUGCACAGUGAGCGGAAGCGUGAUGAAGAGGCGCCGGGAGUGGGAAGAAGGCCUUGGGGGGGUAAACGGCAUUAACCUGAGACGAAGCGGGAGUGACGGUAAUAGGUAAAGAAGCACCGGCUAACUACGUG